Triplophysa rosa is the source of this 1328-nucleotide long non-coding RNA. RefSeq lists it as uncharacterized. NCBI's taxonomy places the organism in Eukaryota, Metazoa, Chordata, Actinopteri, Cypriniformes, Nemacheilidae. The record is from RefSeq and is a predicted model, not a curated record. The transcript has 3 exons.
GAAAAAACGAGCACACAGAUCAGGAGCGAUAUUUUUAAGUGUUCAUCACAAGCACCGCUACGUCUUCGUGUUACAUGUAGGUGCUGUCGUCUGACGGACGCACAUUCACAGCCAUACCACCAGUGUCAGCACAAUUCCCAGAAACUGCCCCAUUCCUCCACCACCCUCUCAGGGCCUAUACAGCAGCUUCGCUCUUCAGAGAAACUGCAUGCUUGGCGCCAGGGACGCAAAGGCCCAUGUGAGUGUGUGUGGCCCCUGUGCACUUUCUCUGCCCCUGAAGUCCCCGUGAACAAACAAGCCAACCAUCGGCCAGCGCAGCAAAUUCUCCAAACAGUGCAUGACUAAGAUUUUUAUGGGUCCUCUCUAUAUUUAAAGCCUAAUUUCACAAGCGUGUGUCUAUAACUGUCGGCGUGUCGACAUAGCUCUAGAACAGCAUGAAUGUGAGAUCUAUAUUUAAAGCUAAUUGUCGGGCAGACGCUAUGUUUACCCCCUCUGGAGCCAUGUGGCUUGUCUGUUACCAAACCAAAUGUUUUCACACCAAAUAUACAGUACACACGCAUGCACGCACACACACAGUUACACAUUCUGUAUUUUUAACCCCUUUUUCAUAAAGUAAUUUACACACAGUAUCUGGUGUUAAUGCACAGACAGAAAACAUGUCAUAAGACUGAAAGGUUUGACCGGAACCGAUCCUCACAGACAUUCAUCAAUCACAUACACACACUCUCGAGUCACGCUGAGAACCCCCCCACUCUCCAGUAUCAAACAUUUUCCAAAUAGCUGUGCAGACCACAGAAUAGUUCCCCUCGUUUAGUGGCAAACAUAAACAUCAGAGACUCUCUCCUUUCUAAGACGGCUGCCGCAUCCAAGGAAGAUUUUCCAGCAGCCCUCCACAGCUCUACUUUCUCAUUUUGGGGGACUGAAUUAUAGCGUUGACACCACAUCGGCUAACGGAGUAUCAUCCAGAAGUCGCGGAGUCUCACUUCAGACUGUGAUAUCAUUAGGUCUAGAAACUUAAAUUAAAGCUUGUUAUCAAAAUAACACACACAUAGAAUGCCACCGUGGACUGAGUGACCUUGAAAUUGACUGGUGAUUUUACAAAAGUAAAUAUUAAGCGAUAUAAAUAAACUUAAAAAUUUUAACCAUUACUAGUUGACUUGACCAUACUGUAAAUGCACUGAAAAGAAUUCUACCCACUAAAAUUAGUAAUUUGAUUGCCUUAUUUGUAUUUAACAAAUUUAAUUUGGAGUAAAAUUGGUGGCAAAGUUUUAAAUUACUUUAGAUUGAUUACUUCAGAUUUACUUAUGUAGUGACGAAAACAAACACAA